UCAUCUUCAAUUCACUUGGCCUCUUCCUCUCUCUGCUAUGUUCAUCUCACGUUCAAAAACACACCAUCUACUCCCUAUUCUCUCUGGCCCUGAAUAACAAAAACCACGUGAAACAAACUCUCUCCAUCUCAAUCGCAUCUCUCAAGCAACUCUCCCACUCAGUUCGGUCCUCUCAUCUCCUAUCUCUAACAUUAUUUCAAUCAAACAAAAUUUCUUCUCUCAAAACAAACAAAUCAACAUAGAAACAACAACAAUCAAUAUGAAUAAUAUUCGAAAGAAGAGAAAAGAAAGAGUUACGAUGAUGAUUAGUUGAUGAAUGAUGCGAGUCUAUGUUGAAGUGUUGUGAUUCUUCAUAAGUGUUGUUGUUGCAAUUUGUUGCGGAUCUUGGAAUCGUCUCAGUGAUGUGUGAUGACAAUGAGUUGACGCGUUGUGUUUCUGCGAUGAUAAAGUGAUUCGGUUUGUUGCAGAUGUUGAAUCGGUUGUGUGAAGAAUGAGUUGUUGUUGUGAACUCGGUUUAGUUUGUGAGAUGUGGAAGAUGAUGGUUCAAUGUUUGAUCUGUGAUGAAGGUUGUGAUGAAGGUUUGAUGGAGUAGAUUUAUGGAGGUCUUGUGGCUUUGAUAAUGGGAAUGAAUCGAUUUUGGAGGAAGCUUAUUUUGUGCAAUGAUUUUGACAGAGUUUUCUUGUGGUUUUGGCUAUGCUAUCUUUGUGUAAAAUUUGGACAGCUUUUUGCAGCAAGUAGGUGGACUUGUGAGCGGGUUUUGGACAGUUUUGCUUGGCAUGGGAUAGCAGUGCAGCAGAAGAAUGCAGAGUUUUGGACCAUUGUGUUUGUUUUGGUUGGGACAGAGCAUCAUCUGUUGUAGCCGGAUGUGGAAUAGAGAAACAUGAAGGAGAUCUUUUUUUCUUUGACUAUUUUUGUUUUUCUUUUGUAAUAACUUGAAAAGUAUAAACUGGGCUGAAAUGUGAAAUGGGCCUAACCCACACAAAUUUCUA
Vicia villosa (hairy vetch) is the source of this 989-nucleotide long non-coding RNA. RefSeq lists it as uncharacterized. The record is from RefSeq and is a predicted model, not a curated record. Lineage: Eukaryota; Viridiplantae; Streptophyta; Magnoliopsida; Fabales; Fabaceae. The transcript has 2 exons.